RNAcentral lists this ribosomal RNA (1576 nucleotides) under Myxobolus wulii. RNAcentral describes it as "SSU rRNA". It matches the Rfam family "Eukaryotic small subunit ribosomal RNA", at positions 111 to 1460 of the family's 1831-position model. Lineage: Eukaryota; Metazoa; Cnidaria; Myxozoa; Bivalvulida; Myxobolidae. The record is from RNAcentral.
GAUUAUCUGUUUGAUUGUCUUACCCAUUGGAUAACCGUGGGAAAUCUAGAGCUAAUACAUGCAGUUUAUUGGCGUAGUCGCAAGAUUGCGUCAAAGCAUUUAUUAGACUUAACCAUCUACUGUACGCAAGUAUAGUAAGGCGAAUCUAGAUAACUUUGCUGAUCGUAUGGCCCUGUGCCGACGACGUUUCAAUUGAGUUUCUGCCCUAUCAAUUUGUUGGUAAGGUAUUGGCUUACCAAGGUUGCAACGGGUAACGGGGAAUCAGGGUUCGAUUCCGGAGAGGGAGCCUGAGAAACGGCUACCACAUCCAAGGAAGGCAGCAGGCGCGCAAAUUACCCAAUCUAGACAGUAGGAGGUGGUGAAGAGAAGUACUUAGUGGUGGCCUAAUGGUCCCAACUAGGAAUGAACGUAAUUUAAGCAAUUCGAUGAGUAACUACUGGAGGGCAAGUCCUGGUGCCAGCAGCCGCGGUAAUUCCAGCUCCAGUGGCGUGAUUUAAAGUUGCUGCGUUUAAAACGCUCGUAGUUGGAUCACGCAGUAGCAUACAGUUACACAGAUUGGUUUAUUUGACGAUUUUCUUUCAAAGAUUAUUGAAUUUUGGCUGGUCUGUGUGUUAACGCUGUAUGCUGCUAUUUGCACACAAGUAUGGUAUUUGGCCUUUAGUGAGUCGAGUAUCAUGUCUUGUGGGGUGUGCCUUGAAUAAAACAGAGUGCUCAAAGCAGGCGAACGCUUGAAUGUUAUAGCAUGGAACGAACAAACGUGUAUUUGCGUAUAUUUGAUAAGGUCGAGGGCAACUUUGACCUGUUGGAUAUAUGCAGCACCCGCCAAAAUACGGAUGUUGGUUUUCGUAUAAGGUGAUGAUUAACAGGAGCGGUUGGGGGCAUUGGUAUUUGGCCGCGAGAGGUGAAAUUCUUGGACCGGCCAAGGACUAACAGAUGCGAAGGCGUUUGUCUAGACCGUUUCCAUUAAUCAAGAACGAAAGUGGGAGGUUCGAAGACGAUCAGAUACCGUCCUAGUUCCCACUAUAAACUAUGCCGACCUGGGAUCAGUUUAGUGAUUAACAAGCACUAGGUUGGUCCCCCUGGGAAACCUAAAGUUUUUCGGUUACGGGGAGAGUAUGGUCGCAAGUCUGAAACUUAAAGGAAUUGACGGAAGGGCACCACCAGGGGUGGAGCCUGCGGCUUAAUUUGACUCAACACGGGGAAACUUACCUGGUCCGGACAUCGAAAGGAUAGACAGACUGAUAGAUCUUUCUUGAAGCGGUGAGUGGUGGUGCAUGGCCGUUCUUAGUUCGUGGAGUGAUCUGUCAGGUUUAUUCCGGUAACGAACGAGACCACUUUCUCCAUUUAAGAAACGGUAGCAGGGAGUUGGCUUGAAAUUGUUUCGGCAGUUUCGGGUUGAUUUUCGCAGAUAGAAUUGUUAAAUUCCAUGGAAGGGUGCUGAGGGGCAACCUGAGGUAUUUGACUGUGGAAGGAGAUGAUUUUUCCUAUCGUUAUGCAGUGUAAGGCAAAACCUUCACGCUGUCUUAUGGAGAGACAACAGGUUUAUAAAAGCCUGAGGAAGUGUGGCUAUAACAGG